GGCUACUGCUAUUGGAGUUCGAUUAAGCCAUGCGAGUCUAAGGGGUACUUGUACCCCUGGCAUAAUGCUCAGUAACACGUGGAUAAUCUACCCUUAGGUGGGGCAUAAACCCGGGAAACUGGGGCUAAUUCCCAUAGAUACAGAACGCUGGAAUGCCUCUGUAUUCAAAGCUCCGGCGCCUAAGGAUGAGUCUGCGACCUAUCAGGUAGUAGUCAGGGUCACGACCUGACUAGCCAACGACGGGUACGGGGUGUGAGAGCACUUGCCCGGAGAUGGUUUCUGAGACACGAAACCAGGCCCUACGGGGCGCAGCAGGCGCGAAAACUUCGCAAUGCGGGAAACCGUGACGAGGGAACUCCAAGUGUCUAUGCAAUGCAUAGACUGUUUUUCAGCCUAAAUAGCUGUUAGAGUAAGGGGUGGGUAAGACCGGUGCCAGCCGCCGCGGUAACACCGGCACCCCGAGUGGUAGCCACUAUUAUUGGGCCUAAAGCGUUCGUAGCCGGUUUAGUAAAUUCUUGGGUAAAUCGUACAGCUUAACUGUGCGGAUUCCGGGGACACUACUAGACUUGAGACCGGGAGAGAUUAGAGGUACUUGCAGGGGAGCGGUGAAAUGUUGUAAUCCUGCAGGGACCACCAGUGGCGAAGGCGUCUAAUCAUAACGGCUCUGACGGUGAGGAACGAAACCCUGGGGCGCAAACGGGAUUAGAUACCCCGGUAGUCCAGGGCGUAAACGCUGCUGACUUGGUGUUGGAGAUCCUACGAGGGUGUCCAGUGCUGGCGCGAAGGUAUUAAGUCAGCCGCCUGGGGAGUACGGUCGCAAGACUGAAACUUAAAGGAAUUGGCGGGGGAGCACUGCAACGUGUGGAGCGUGCGGUUU
RNAcentral lists this ribosomal RNA (877 nucleotides) under uncultured archaeon. RNAcentral describes it as "bacterial SSU rRNA". It matches the Rfam family "Archaeal small subunit ribosomal RNA", at positions 22 to 903 of the family's 1478-position model. The record is from RNAcentral.